Molecule: ribosomal RNA, 512 nt
Filed under: uncultured bacterium
Lineage: Bacteria
Description: bacterial SSU rRNA
Rfam family: Bacterial small subunit ribosomal RNA
Source: RNAcentral
CCUACGGGAGGCAGCAGUGAGGAAUAUUGGUCAAUGGUCGCAAGACUGAACCAGCCAUGCCGCGUGCAGGACGACUGCCCUAUGGGUUGUAAACUGCUUUUAUAUGGGAAGAAACAAACUUACGUGUAAGUUCUUGACGGUACCAUAUGAAUAAGCACCGGCUAACUCCGUGCCAGCAGCCGCGGUAAUACGGAGGGUGCAAGCGUUAUCCGGAUUUAUUGGGUUUAAAGGGUCCGUAGGCGGACUUAUAAGUCAGUGGUGAAAUCCUGCAGCUCAACUGUAGAACUGCCAUUGAUACUGUAAGUCUUGAAUUCGGUUGAAGUGGGCGGAAUAUGGCAUGUAGCGGUGAAAUGCUUAGAUAUGCCAUAGAACACCGAUUGCGUAGGCAGCUCACUAAGCCUGGAUUGACGCUGAGGGACCGAAAGCGUGGGGGAGGCGACGAGAGUAGAUACCUCGUAGUCCGACGACCGUAACGAUAGAUACUCGACAUAGUCGAUAUACGGUUAGUUGUC